Molecule: ribosomal RNA, 1343 nt
Filed under: uncultured bacterium
Lineage: Bacteria
Description: 16S ribosomal RNA
Rfam family: Bacterial small subunit ribosomal RNA
Source: RNAcentral
GACGAACGCUGGCGGCGUGCUUAACACAUGCAAGUCGAACGGAAAGGCCCUGCUUUUGUGGGGUGCUCGAGUGGCGAACGGGUGAGUAACACGUGAGUAACCUGCCCUUGACUUUGGGAUAACUUCAGGAAACUGGGGCUAAUACCGGAUAGGAGCUCCUGCUGCAUGGUGGGGGUUGGAAAGUUUCGGCGGUUGGGGAUGGACUCGCGGCUUAUCAGCUUGUUGGUGGGGUAGUGGCUUACCAAGGCUUUGACGGGUAGCCGGCCUGAGAGGGUGACCGGCCACAUUGGGACUGAGAUACGGCCCAGACUCCUACGGGAGGCAGCAGUGGGGAAUAUUGCACAAUGGGCGGAAGCCUGAUGCAGCAACGCCGCGUGCGGGAUGACGGCCUUCGGGUUGUAAACCGCUUUCGCCUGUGACGAAGCGUGAGUGACGGUAAUGGGUAAAGAAGCACCGGCUAACUACGUGCCAGCAGCCGCGGUGAUACGUAGGGUGCGAGUGUUGUCCGGAUUUAUUGGGCGUAAAGGGCUCGUAGGUGGUUGAUCGCGUCGGAAGUGUAAUCUUGGGGCUUAACCCUGAGCGUGCUUUCGAUACGGGUUGACUUGAGGAAGGUAGGGGAGAAUGGAAUUCCUGGUGGAGCGGUGGAAUGCGCAGAUAUCAGGAGGAACACCAGUGGCGAAGGCGGUUCUCUGGGCCUUUCCUGACGCUGAGGAGCGAAAGCGUGGGGAGCGAACAGGCUUAGAUACCCUGGUAGUCCACGCUGUAAACGGUGGGUACUAGGUGUGGGGUCCAUUCCACGGGUUCCGUGCCGUAGCUAACGCUUUAAGUACCCCGCCUGGGGAGUACGGCCGCAAGGCUAAAACUCAAAGGAAUUGACGGGGCCCCGCACAAGCGGCGGAGCAUGCGGAUUAAUUCGAUGCAACGCGUAGAACCUUACCUGGGUUUGACAUGGAUCGGGAGUGCUCAGAGAUGGGUGUGCCUCUUUUGGGGUCGGUUCACAGGUGGUGCAUGGCUGUCGUCAGCUCGUGUCGUGAGAUGUUGGGUUAAGUCCCGCAACGAGCGCAACCCUUGUUCACUGUUGCCAGCACGUUAUGGUGGGGACUCAGUGGAGACCGCCGGGGUCAACUCGGAGGAAGGUGGGGAUGGCGUCAAGUCAUCAUGCCCCUUAUGUCCAGGGCUUCACGCAUGCUACAAUGGCUGGUACAGAGAGUGGCGAGCCUGUGAGGGUGAGCGAAUCUCGGAAAGCCGGUCUCAGUUCGGAUUGGGGUCUGCAACUCGACCUCAUGAAGUCGGAGUCGCUAGUAAUCGCAGAUCAGCAACGCUGCGGUGAAUACGUUCCCGGG